RNAcentral lists this ribosomal RNA (497 nucleotides) under uncultured bacterium. RNAcentral's name for it is "partial 16S ribosomal RNA". It matches the Rfam family "Bacterial small subunit ribosomal RNA", at positions 28 to 507 of the family's 1533-position model. The record is from RNAcentral.
GAUGAACGCUGGCGGCGUGCCUAAUACAUGCAAGUCGAGCGAACAGACGAGGAGCUUGCUCUUCUGACGUUAGCGGCGGACGGGUGAGUAACACGUGGAUAACCUACCUAUAAGACUGGGAUAACUUCGGGAAACCGGAGCUAAUACCGGAUAAUAUAUUGAACCGCAUGGUUCAAUAGUGAAAGACGGUUUUGCUGUCACUUAUAGAUGGAUCCGCGCCGCAUUAGCUAGUUGGUAAGGUAACGGCUUACCAAGGCAACGAUGCGUAGCCGACCUGAGAGGGUGAUCGGCCACACUGGAACUGAGACACGGUCCAGACUCCUACGGGAGGCAGCAGUAGGGAAUCUUCCGCAAUGGGCGAAAGCCUGACGGAGCAACGCCGCGUGAGUGAUGAAGGUCUUCGGAUCGUAAAACUCUGUUAUUAGGGAAGAACAAAUGUGUAAGUAACUGUGCACGUCUUGACGGUACCUAAUCAGAAAGCCACGGCUAACUACGUG